This 497-nucleotide ribosomal RNA is filed under the name uncultured bacterium. Its description in RNAcentral is "partial 16S ribosomal RNA". It matches the Rfam family "Bacterial small subunit ribosomal RNA", at positions 28 to 507 of the family's 1533-position model. The record is from RNAcentral.
GAUGAACGCUGGCGGCGUGCCUAAUACAUGCAAGUCGAGCGAACAGACGAGGAGCUUGCUCCUCUGACGUUAGCGGCGGACGGGUGAGUAACACGUGGAUAACCUACCUAUAAGACUGGGAUAACUUCGGGAAACCGGAGCUAAUACCGGAUAAUAUAUUGAACCGCAUGGUUCAAUAGUGAAAGACGGUUUUGCUGUCACUUAUAGAUGGAUCCGCGCCGCAUUAGCUAGUUGGUAAGGUAACGGCUUACCAAGGCAACGAUGCGUAGCCGACCUGAGAGGGUGAUCGGCCACACUGGAACUGAGACACGGUCCAGACUCCUACGGGAGGCAGCAGUAGGGAAUCUUCCGCAAUGGGCGAAAGCCUGACGGAGCACCGCCGCGUGAGUGAUGAAGGUCUUCGGAUCGUAAAACUCUGUUAUUAGGGAAGAACAAAUGUGUAAGUAACUAUGCACGUCUUGACGGUGCCUAAUCAGAAAGCCACGGCUAACUACGUG